GGGGAACAUGUGUACACCCGUGGCAGAUUCAUGUUGAUGUGUGGCAAAACUGAUACAAUAUUGUAAAGUAAAAAAAAUAAUAAUAAUAAAUUAAUUAAAAAAAUAAACAAGCAAAAAAAAGCAAGUGCUUUAGAAGUCAGUAUAAAAAUAACUUAUUUUGAUAACUCAUAUUUCUGACAAGAUAAUUAAUCACACAUAUUAUAUGCAUUAUGUAUGUAUUCUUCACCCAUGAAUCAUAUGUGCAAUGUAUAUUAUCUGUGGUUAAUUAGCUUAUGUAAAUAUAGAUAUAUUUUCAUGGCAACAUAGAGUAUUAAUAAGACCACUUUGGAAACGGACUACUGUUUACAGUAAUUUUACUAGUAUACCAUUAAGCUCUCAAAGUCUAUUUAGGUCUUCUCCUUGGUGCUACUUACAGAAGGGACAGCCAGCUCAUCACCAGAAUCAGGCCUGCUGUUAGACACCCAUGUAAGCUUAUGAGAUUAAGAAGAAAGCCAAGACGUUUCCCUGACAUCUGUUAUGUUUACACACCAAUAGUAGUACAUCUGUAAAAUAUUAGGAAACAUUGCCUCUAGAAUUUUCCUCUUGAGAAGAGGAAAGGUCAAUGGUGAUGCCAAGCAUUGGUCCUGAGAACAAUAAAGAACAUAACCCUACUCAGCCAAUCCUAGACUGUCCUACAAAUGUGGAACAAAAGAGGAUGCCUAAAUGAGAGCAAGUUUUUCUGGGCUGAGACUACUUUUAACACUUUUUCUAAGGACUUUGAAGUUAUCUAGGACAAGAAAGCUGUACACUGAAAUUACCAACCAGAUUCCUUUGUGUAUCUGGCCCCUGAAUAAAACUACAAAUCUCUACUGGCUUUCACCUACAGACCACAUUGUAAAAUUAUAAUCACUGACUUUUGAAACAGGCUGGUAGAGUUUUACUAGAAGGGAUAUAUAUGGCUGAUUCACUUUCCUGUAUGAUAGAAACUAACACAGCAGUAUAAAACAACUAUACUCCAAUUUAAAAUGGAGAAGGAAAAUGGCAAUCCACUCCAGUAUUCUU
RNAcentral lists this long non-coding RNA (1041 nucleotides) under Capra hircus (goat). RNAcentral describes it as "lncRNA (ENSCHIG00010003744.1)". Lineage: Eukaryota; Metazoa; Chordata; Mammalia; Artiodactyla; Bovidae. The record is from RNAcentral.